ACGCUCGACACCUACGGAGGCAGCAGUGGGGAAUAUUGCACAAUGGGGGAAACCCUGAUGCAGCGACGCCGCGUGGAGGAAGAAGGUCUUCGGAUUGUAAACUCCUGUUGUUGGGGAAAAAGAGGAUGGUACCCAACAAGGAAGUGACGGCUAACUACGUGCCAGCAGCCGGCGGUAAUCUGAGCGGGCUGGCAAGGC
RNAcentral lists this ribosomal RNA (198 nucleotides) under uncultured bacterium. Its description in RNAcentral is "partial 16S ribosomal RNA". It matches the Rfam family "Bacterial small subunit ribosomal RNA", at positions 328 to 539 of the family's 1533-position model. The record is from RNAcentral.